CAGCAGCCGCGGUAAUACAGAGGAUGCAAGCGUUAUCCGGAAUGAUUGGGCGUAAAGCGUCUGUAGGUGGCUUUUCAAGUCCGCCGUCAAAUCCCAGGGCUCAACCCUGGACAGGCGGUGGAAACUACCAAGCUGGAGUACGGUAGGGGGCAGAGGGAAUUUCCGGUGGAGCGGCGAAAUGCGUAGAUAUAUGGAGGAACACCGGUGGCGAAAGCGGCUCUCUGGCUUGUAACUGACGCUGAGGCUCGAAAGCGUGGGGAGCAAACAAGAUUAGAGACCCCUGUAGUCCCUGUCUCUUAUA
RNAcentral lists this ribosomal RNA (301 nucleotides) under uncultured bacterium. RNAcentral's name for it is "partial 16S ribosomal RNA". It matches the Rfam family "Bacterial small subunit ribosomal RNA", at positions 509 to 808 of the family's 1533-position model. The record is from RNAcentral.